Echinostoma caproni is the source of this 45-nucleotide non-coding RNA. Lineage: Eukaryota; Metazoa; Platyhelminthes; Trematoda; Plagiorchiida; Echinostomatidae. The record is from Rfam.
GCACUGCUGAUGAGACCCAACCAGGUCGAUACAGCUGUUCAGUGC